AUUGAACGCUGGCGGCAUGCCUUACACAUGCAAGUCGAACGGUAACAGGUCUUCGGAUGCUGACGAGUGGCGAACGGGUGAGUAAUACAUCGGAACGUGCCCGAUCGUGGGGGAUAACGAAGCGAAAGCUUUGCUAAUACCGCAUACGAUCUACGGAUGAAAGCGGGGGAUCUGCGGACCUCGCGCGGACGGAGCGGCCGAUGGCAGAUUAGGUAGUUGGUGGGAUAAAAGCUUACCAAGCCGACGAUCUGUAGCUGGUCUGAGAGGAUGAUCAGCCACACUGGGACUGAGACACGGCCCAGACUCCUACGGGAGGCAGCAGUGGGGAAUUUUGGACAAUGGGCGCAAGCCUGAUCCAGCCAUGCCGCGUGCAGGAUGAAGGCCUUCGGGUUGUAAACUGCUUUUGUACGGAACGAAAAGGUGCCUUCUAAUACAGGGCGCUCAUGACGGUACCGUAAGAAUAAGCACCGGCUAACUACGUG
Molecule: ribosomal RNA, 482 nt
Filed under: uncultured bacterium
Lineage: Bacteria
Description: partial 16S ribosomal RNA
Rfam family: Bacterial small subunit ribosomal RNA
Source: RNAcentral